This 327-nucleotide ribosomal RNA is filed under the name uncultured eukaryote. RNAcentral describes it as "partial 18S ribosomal RNA". It matches the Rfam family "Eukaryotic small subunit ribosomal RNA", at positions 1470 to 1796 of the family's 1831-position model. The record is from RNAcentral.
CCCUUAGAUGUUCUGGGCCGCACACGCGCUACACUGAUUCAUGCAACAAGUUUUGUCCUUGGCUGAUAGGCCUGGGUAAUCUUUGAACGUGAAUCGUGAUGGGGAUAGAUGAUUGCAAUUAUUCAUCUUCAACGAGGAAUUCCUAGUAAACGCAAGUCAUCAGCUUGCAUUGAUUACGUCCCUGCCCUUUGUACACACCGCCCGUCGCACCUACCGAUUGAAUGGUCCGGUGAAAUCUUCGGAUCUGAGAGAUGUCUGAUUAAUUUCGGACGCCUUUUGGAAAAGUUGCUUAAACCUUNCNAUUUAUNGGAAGGUGAANUCGUANCA